UGCCUUAGUAGCGGCGAGUGAAGCGGCAAAAGCUCAAAUUUGAAAUCUGGCGCCUUCGGUGUCCGAGUUGUAAUUUGAAGAUUGUAACCUUGGGGUUGGCUCUUGUCUAUGUUUCUUGGAACAGGACGUCACAGAGGGUGAGAAUCCCGUGCGAUGAGAUGCCCAAUUCUAUGUAAGGUGCUUUCGAAGAGUCGAGUUGUUUGGGAAUGCAGCUCUAAGUGGGUGGUAAAUUCCAUCUAAAGCUAAAUAUUGGCGAGAGACCGAUAGCGAACAAGUACAGUGAUGGAAAGAUGAAAAGAACUUUGAAAAGAGAGUGAAAAAGUACGUGAAAUUGUUGAAAGGGAAGGGUUUGAGAUCAGACUCGAUAUUUUGUGAGCCUUGCCUUCGUGGCGGGGUGACCCGCAGCUUAUCGGGCCAGCAUCGGUUUGGGCGGUAGGAUAAUGGCGUAGGAAUGUGACUUUACUUCGGUGAAGUGUUAUAGCCUGCGUUGAUGCUGCCUGCCUAGACCGAGGACUGCGAUUUUAUCAAGGAUGCU
Molecule: ribosomal RNA, 535 nt
Filed under: Meyerozyma guilliermondii
Lineage: Eukaryota; Fungi; Ascomycota; Pichiomycetes; Serinales; Debaryomycetaceae
Description: eukaryotic LSU rRNA
Rfam family: Eukaryotic large subunit ribosomal RNA
Source: RNAcentral